UGGCACAAAACGUCGCUUUUGACAUUCCAACGUGUAAUGACUUCGUCGCCAUCAUUCCUUCACUCAUUUUCCCCCAAAUUGAAAAAUCUAACUUCAUUAUUGCCCAAUUUUCCCAAUUUGAUGAUUUUGAACUGGAAUUGCAGUUACUCGUGGCCUCCUUUCGCUCAAAUAUUGCAGUUAACAAUAUGUAUGGGGUUUUGCAUUUCAAGUGGCAGGAGCGAGGGUGAAGUGAUUCCAAAUUAUUGGUGUAAGAAGCAAUAUGUUCUUCUAACAAUAACAAAAAAUGGUGCAAAAUAGAGGUCGAAAAUUAUGGAGAUCUCGAGACUGGAUGGUAUGUGAUUACAUUUUGAUUUUAUGAAGGAUAAACCUUUAUGUUGGUGACUAAGUUUGUGUUUAUUCUAGUUGUAUUUAGCCUAAUAACAAUGAAGUUGGGUGUGGUUACUUCAGCCGGCGUUUUGACAAUUAAAUACAAACAUAGAGUGUUUGACAACAAUGUUUCGAAUGUGGCAAGAAAUAUAUGGAAAUAAGGGGCAAAUUUCACUAGAAUGAAGAAAAAUCUACAAGCAUAGUUAAAGUUAAUUUGUUGCUUAAUUUUAGUUACUGAUACAAAUAACAAUUACGCACAACAAAACCAAAAAUAUUAUCAUUCAUAAAUAUCAAGUGUUUCAUAGACACAACUAAA
This 682-nucleotide long non-coding RNA is filed under the name Medicago truncatula (barrel medic). RNAcentral's name for it is "lncRNA gene50644". The record is from RNAcentral. Lineage: Eukaryota; Viridiplantae; Streptophyta; Magnoliopsida; Fabales; Fabaceae.